GGCCUCCCCGAGGACGCAAACGUAGCGCAGUCUAGUAUAGCAUUAUACCGUGAAACUGCGAAUGGCUCAUUAAAUCAGUUAUCGUUUAUUUGAUAGUACCUUACUACUUGGAUAACCGUGGUAAUUCUAGAGCUAAUACAUGCUAAAAACCCCGACUUCGGGAGGGGUGUAUUUAUUAGAUAAAAAACCAAUGCCCUUCGGGGCUCCUUGGUGAAUCAUAAUAACUUAACGGAUCGCAUGGCCUUGCGCCGGCGACGGUUCAUUCAAAUUUCUGCCCUAUCAACUUUCGAUUGUAGGGUAUUGGCCUACAAUGGUAUCAACGGGUAACGGGGAAUUAGGGUUCGAUUCCGGAGAGGGAGCCUGAGAAACGGCUACCACAUCCAAGGAAGGCAGCAGGCGCGCAAAUUACCCAAUCCCGACACGGGGAGGUAGUGACAAUAAAUACUGAUACAGGGCUCUUUUGGGUCUUGUAAUUGGAAUGAGUACAAUUUAAAUCCCUUAACGAGGAACAAUUGGAGGGCAAGUCUGGUGCCAGCAGCCGCGGUAAUUCCAGCUCCAAUAGCGUAUAUUAAAGUUGUUGCAGUUAAAAAGCUCGUAGUUGAACCUUGGGCCUGGCUGGCCGGUCCGCCUCACCGCGUGCACUGGUCCGGCCGGGCCUUUCCUUCUGGAGAGCCGCAUGCCCUUCACUGGGUGUGUCGGGGAACCAGGACUUUUACUUUGAAAAAAUUAGAGUGUUCAAAGCAGGCCUUUGCUCGAAUACAUUAGCAUGGAAUAAUAGAAUAGGACGUGCGGUUCUAUUUUGUUGGUUUCUAGGACCGCCGUAAUGAUUAAUAGGGAUAGUCGGGGGCAUCAGUAUUCAAUUGUCAGAGGUGAAAUUCUUGGAUUUAUUGAAGACUAACUACUGCGAAAGCAUUUGCCAAGGAUGUUUUCAUUAAUCAGUGAACGAAAGUUAGGGGAUCGAAGACGAUCAGAUACCGUCGUAGUCUUAACCGUAAACUAUGCCGACUAGGGAUCGGGCGAUGUUAUUAUUUUGACUCGCUCGCACCUUACGAGAAUCAAAGUUUUUGGUUCUGGGGGGAGUAUGGUCCGCAAGCCUGAACUUAAGAAUUGACGGAAGAA
RNAcentral lists this ribosomal RNA (1119 nucleotides) under Rhytidhysteron sp. JCL-2023c. RNAcentral's name for it is "SSU rRNA". It matches the Rfam family "Eukaryotic small subunit ribosomal RNA", at positions 68 to 1164 of the family's 1831-position model. The record is from RNAcentral. Lineage: Eukaryota; Fungi; Ascomycota; Dothideomycetes; Hysteriales; Hysteriaceae.